This 443-nucleotide ribosomal RNA is filed under the name uncultured bacterium. RNAcentral's name for it is "partial 16S ribosomal RNA". It matches the Rfam family "Bacterial small subunit ribosomal RNA", at positions 338 to 795 of the family's 1533-position model. The record is from RNAcentral.
CCUACGGGUGGCAGCAGUGGGGAAUAUUGGGCAAUGGACGCAACCCUGACCCAGCAACGCCGCGUGAAUGAUGAAGGCUUUCGGAUUGUAAACUUCUUUUAUGGGGGAUGAACACAAUGACGGUACCCCAGGAGUAAGCCACGGCUAACUACGUGCCAGCAGCCGCGGUAAUACGUAGGUGGCAAGCGUUAUCCGGAAUGACUGGGCGUAAAGGGUGUGUAGGUGGUUUAGUAAGUUGGCGGUGUAAUUCCGGGGCUCAACCUCGGCGCUACCGCAGAAACUAUUAUACUAGAGUGCAGGAGAGGUAAGUGGAAGUCCUGGUGUAGCGGUGGAAUGCGUAGAUAUUAGGAGGAACAUCAGGUGCGAAGGCGACUUACUGGACUGUAACUGACACGGAGGCGCGAAAGCGUGGGGAGCAAACAGGAUUAGAUACCCGAGUAGUC